RNAcentral lists this unclassified non-coding RNA (243 nucleotides) under rhizosphere metagenome. Its description in RNAcentral is "partial ribosomal RNA internal transcribed spacer region". The record is from RNAcentral.
GUAGGUGAACCUGCGGAAGGAUCAUUACCGAGAGAGGGGCUUCGCGCUCCCGGGGGUUUCGGCCUCCACCUCUUCACCCAUUGCGUACCUACCUUUGUUGCUUUGGCGGGCCAUGGGGUUCGCCCCACGCCGGCCUCCGCGCUGGUGAGCGCCCGUCAGAGGCCCUCAAAACUCUGUUUAUAGUGACGUCCGAGUUAAAACACAAAUAGUAAAAAACUUUCAACAACGGAUCUCUUGGUUCCA